RNAcentral lists this long non-coding RNA (332 nucleotides) under Carica papaya (papaya). RNAcentral describes it as "long non-coding RNA (CPAP_LNC004278)". Lineage: Eukaryota; Viridiplantae; Streptophyta; Magnoliopsida; Brassicales; Caricaceae. The record is from RNAcentral.
GGGGGUGAGUGCGGACUUGGAAUUUAGGAGAGGAGGAAAGGGUAGUUUUGGGAUUUUGUGAGGUCUGAUAAGCAACUGUGAAGAAGCAAAAGAAGAUGAAGAGGGAGAUGAAGAAGUAACGAAAGCCAUGAGUGAAUUUUUUCUGAAGGUUAGCUCCCAGUCAGCAGCCACACCCACACCUUACAAGGGUUUAUGGGUUUUGUCUCAUUUUAUUUUUAUUUAUUUAUUUCUUUGAUAAAAACGGGUUUUUAUUUUUUAUUUUUUUUGAAUUUUUUCUGAAGGUUAGCUCCCAGUCAGCAGCCACACCCACACCUUACAAGGGUUUAUGGGUU